Molecule: non-coding RNA, 540 nt
Organism: Kogia breviceps (pygmy sperm whale)
Lineage: Eukaryota; Metazoa; Chordata; Mammalia; Artiodactyla; Physeteridae
Source: the annotation of a RefSeq genome assembly
AUGAAUCUCAUCUGCAGGAAGAUGAAUCCACUGUGGUUCUUCCUCUUCGUGGUGUCAGCGCCCAGAGGUGUCCUGUCCGAGGUGCAGCUGCAGGAGUCGGGACCCAGCCUGGUGACGCCCUACCAGACCCUCUCCCUCACCUGCACCGUCUCUGGAGACUCAUUAUCCAACUUUAAUGUCGACUGGGUCCGACAGCCUCCAGGAAAGGGGUUGGAGUGGCUUGCUGAGAGCAGUUAUAAAGGAAACACGUAUUAUAACCCAAGUCUUAAGUCCCGGCUCAGCAUCACCAGGGACACGUCCAAGAGCCAAGUCUACUUAUCACUGAGCAGCCUGACAACUGAAGACACAGCCGUGUAUUACUGUGUGAGAGACACACAGCGAGGGGAAGUCAGUGUCCUGUCCCAGGUGCGGAUGCAGGAAUCGGGUCCAGAACUAUUGAAGACCCUCCCGCUCACCCACUCAGUCUCUGGAUUCUCCAUCACAAACCGUGCGGACUGCUGGGACAGGAUACCUCAGUCCCCAGGGAAAGGGCUGUCGUGA